This is a long non-coding RNA of Mauremys reevesii (Reeves's turtle), 749 nucleotides long. RefSeq lists it as uncharacterized. The record is from RefSeq and is a predicted model, not a curated record. The transcript has 6 exons. Lineage: Eukaryota; Metazoa; Chordata; Testudines; Geoemydidae.
AACAGGCCUUGGCAGCAGGAACACUCAGACUCACAGAUAGCAGCAGAAAAUGAGCUCAUAAGGCAAGCCAGAGCCCCUCCUGCCUUUGUGUGAUGGUCAGCUCCCUGCUCAGAGCAGCACUAUUGCCAUGUCCCCAGCUGGAAGCCUCCAACCCUCCUCAGGCUUGCCACCAGUGAAGAAGACCCAUUGUUCCAGGCAGUACCCACGACCAUUCAACGAGUAGUCCUGGAGCUUGUGCCAUAUUAAUGGUUAAAAGGAAAGAACAUGCCAGAAGAAAGGCAGGCAGGAAGGGUGUCCUUGAAAGCAGGCACACCCAUCUCACUGAUAUCUCAAAUCAACAGUUUUUCAAGAGGUCUCUGUGCAACCAAGGAGUAUGACAUUUACUAAUGUGUUGAGAGUCAGGGAUUCUCUUUUGUAGGAGCCAAUACUAAUAGGAAAGAUAUGGUUCAGUGUCCUGGGUAUUCUUCCAAGUUUUAUUAAUUAGAUGGAAAGCUUUUCCCUCUGGAAUAUUGUAAGGACAGGCACAGAACACCAGUAGGACAAACUUCCUCACAUCCCCCCCUCCCAGUGUGCCUCAUCCUUACCUGGAACCAAUCUUCCCUGAACAGCAGACAUCCUAAUAUUGUGUGUAUCUGUUAUUGCACUUUGGCCUUCUCCUGUUCCUGUCAAAGUCAAUGGAAGUUUUGUGGUUGAUUUCAGGAGGAGUGGAAGCAGGUCCCUAGAGAUUUUUUGUGCCAGAUCCACAGAUC